Molecule: ribosomal RNA, 472 nt
Filed under: uncultured bacterium
Lineage: Bacteria
Description: bacterial SSU rRNA
Rfam family: Bacterial small subunit ribosomal RNA
Source: RNAcentral
CGGCAGGCUUAACACAUGCAAGUCGAGGGGCAUCACGGGUAGCAAUACCUGGUGGCGACCGGCGCAAGGGUGCGUAACGCGUGAGCAACAUGCCCUAUACAGGGGGAUAAUCCAGGGAAACUUGGUCUAAUAUCCCAUAGCAUUUAGAGGUGGCAUCACCAUUAAAUUAAAGCUUCGGUGGUAUAGGAUUGGCUCGCGUGACAUUAGCUAGAUGGUGAGGUAACGGCUCACCAUGGCAAUGAUGUCUAGGGGUUCUGAGAGGAAGGCCCCCCACACUGGGACUGAGACACGGCCCAGACUCCUACGGGAGGCAGCAGUGAGGAAUAUUGGACAAUGGAUGGAAAUCUGAUCCAGCCAUGCCGCGUGCAGGAAGACAGCCCUAUGGGUUGUAAACUGCUUUUAUAUGGGAGCAAUAAGGUCUACGUGUAGACUGAUGAGAGUACCAUAUGAAUAAGCAUCGGCUAACUCCGUG